This 474-nucleotide ribosomal RNA is filed under the name uncultured bacterium. RNAcentral describes it as "bacterial SSU rRNA". It matches the Rfam family "Bacterial small subunit ribosomal RNA", at positions 328 to 793 of the family's 1533-position model. The record is from RNAcentral.
CGCUAUCACUCCUACGGGGAGGCAGCAGUAGGGAAUCUUCCACAAUGGGCGCAAGCCUGAUGGAGCAACACCGCGUGAGUGAAGAAGGGUUUCGGCUCGUAAAGCUCUGUCGUUAAAGAAGAACACGUAUGAGAGUAACUGUUCAUACGUUGACGGUAUUUAACCAGAAAGUCACGGCUAACUACGUGCCAGCAGCCGCGGUAAUACGUAGGUGGCAAGCGUUAUCCGGAUUUAUUGGGCGUAAAGAGAGUGCAGGCGGUUUUCUAAGUCUGAUGUGAAAGCCUUCGGCUUAACCGGAGAAGUGCAUCGGAAACUGGAUAACUUGAGUGCAGAAGAGGGUAGUGGAACUCCAUGUGUAGCGGUGGAAUGCGUAGAUAUAUGGAAGAACACCAGUGGCGAAGGCGGCUACCUGGUCUGCAACUGACGCUGAGACUCGAAAGCAUGGGUAGCGAACAGGAUUAGAUACCCUGGUAG